GGGUCAAUGGCGAGAACUCAUACUGUUUUGAAGAGAGGAUGACUUAAAAAUCAUGUUAAUUAUGUUCACGCUGAAGCCC
Pteronotus mesoamericanus is the source of this 79-nucleotide small nucleolar RNA. RefSeq annotates it as small nucleolar RNA SNORD115. The record is from RefSeq and is a predicted model, not a curated record. Lineage: Eukaryota; Metazoa; Chordata; Mammalia; Chiroptera; Mormoopidae. The transcript has a single exon.